RNAcentral lists this ribosomal RNA (284 nucleotides) under Flavobacteriaceae bacterium. RNAcentral describes it as "partial 23S ribosomal RNA". It matches the Rfam family "Bacterial large subunit ribosomal RNA", at positions 2626 to 2925 of the family's 2925-position model. The record is from RNAcentral. Lineage: Bacteria; Pseudomonadati; Bacteroidota; Flavobacteriia; Flavobacteriales; Flavobacteriaceae.
ACAGUUCGGUCUCUAUCUAUUGUGGGCGUUAGAAAUUUGAAUGGAUCUGACUCUAGUACGAGAGGACCGAGUUGGACCAACCUCUAGUGUAUCUGUUGUUCCGCCAGGAGCAUCGCAGAGUAGCUACGUUGGGAAGAGAUAAGCGCUGAAAGCAUAUAAGCGCGAAACUCACCAUAAGAUGAGAUUUCUUUAAAGGGUCGUGGAAGAUUACCACGUUGAUAGGCUACAGGUGUAAAGGCAGUAAUGUCAAAGCCGAGUAGUACUAAUUACCCAUAGGCUUAUUG